GGUUGCAAUAGAUGCACUUUCCAUGGAGGCGUACACUUCACCUAGAAAUAUGUUCAAGGUCAAGCUGCAGAGUACAUGAGAAAGAAGACUUUGAACCUUAAACAAUCUUUAUUUUCUGAAGAAGCAGAGAGUACAGCAAGCAUGUGCUUCAGAGAUGGGAUCAAACAGCAGAACAUACGUAACUUGUUACGUCUCAAAUAUCAGUAGCAAAUUUUCUGAGACUCCAAACUUCAGUUGAUGUUUGUCAGGUUCUACCAACUUCUCUUAUACUUACACUUUAUGUAUGGUUGUGGAUUUAAAGACUGGUAUAGACAUUAGAUGCUUUAAAUUUUGUUUAUAUGAUCUGGAGUAGGAAGCCUUAUUAUCCUAUUCUGGUUUGAAAACAGAAAUGGUGAACACUCGAGUUUGUCUUGCUGAUAAACAUUCUCAUAUAACCACUUUCCAUUUCCAAAGGAGUCAUAGUUUCUGUUUGUGUAGGAUAUUUUUCAUUGGGAACCUAUUGGUGAACUUUGGUUGAGCAGUUGGUCUGUUCAGAUUUGCAGACCUUCAACAUUCAAACUUUCCAUUGGUUUCAGGUUUGUUGUAAGUGCUUGUUACUUGUAUUCAAGUUACAUUAUUUAGAAUAUAUGAUAAUGCAAUUUUCAAGAAUUUCCACUUCACCCUAGUGCAUUUGGUGUGUGCAUUGGACAUCUAUGGAUUGUUCUUCUCUUAUGUAGUGAUAAAUGUUUGUUUUACCUUAGCUUAUAGUCUUGUUCUGUGAACAAAGAAUAACUUUACUUUACAAGGUUCUAACUUCUAAACCUGGUUUUUCGUUUUCGUAACUUUCCAGAGCAUAGGAGGUGAAAAACGGAGACUUGAAAAUUCUUGUCAUUUUUCCCUUUUGAUGUAAGACCAAGCAUUUUGUUAGAGUGAUUAGUCAUCAGUGAAAGGGAGAGUAGAUUAAGCGUGAGGGAGAACAAAUAGUGGUCUUCUUCAAUGGUGGAUGUCUUCGUCUUCAGUAACUCAGUCCCACAUCGGUGCUCUAUUCGUGAGCUAAUUUUUGGUUUCAUUUAUUUUGAUGUGUUCCAGAAAACAGUCCCACAUCGGAAGAUUUAUCAAACAAUAACAAAUUUAUAUAGUUAGUUCAUCUACUAUUAAUUAAUUGUUUGAAAGGAGCUGCUUCAAAAAUAUUAAAUUAUAGCUACUUCAAGUUCAAUACUAUUAAAAUUUUAAAAAAAAAAAUUUUUUUUUAAACAGCGACUUAAGGGGUUGACUGGUCCACUCCUUAAGUCGCUGUUAGUAACAGCGACUUAGGGCCUUUUAAUUUUUUUUUUUUUCUCUUAAUUCGCUGUUACUAACAGCGACUUACCCGAGGCUAGGCUUGGAUGUACGGAAGCUUAUUUUGGGACAUAAGUUUUCUCGAAUCUUAUAUUCGGAAUUAAAUUGUUUAUUUAUCUUAUUUUUUUCAAUCUUUCACAUGUUGGCAUGUUGGGGCAUUGGGCUAUGCAAUACGUACAAUUUAGUUUUCAUGGCGCAACUCAGCCCAAAAUGAAUUUAUUUGAAAAUGUCUUAGUAAAUAAUGGUAAUUUGUAAAGUUAACAAAUUAAUUUUAUGGUUUUAUGUGGUAGAAUUUAAUAGAAUGAGAGUUUUAUGAUUUUAAUUUAUCUUUUUUUUAUUUUUUAUUUUAAUAUUAUUUUUUUGUCUUUUUAUGAUUAUUUAUAAAUUACGAUAAAUGAUUAAAAAUUAUUGCUUUAUAUGUUGCUCAUUUAGGUCCGAUAAAUAAGGUACUAUUUGCUUCCACCUUAAUUUUGAGUUAAAGUUGGUGGGGUGAUAUAAUUGUGGACUUGGGAUUAGAAUUAUUGUUUGCUCACUAAUUUUAAAUCACAAAUUUUUGUAUUAAACAGUUUCAUUGUAAGACGUGCUAUAUACAUAGAUUGAAUAGUUUAAUUAAUACAAAUUAUUAGCAUGAUGGACACUUUAUUUUGAAAUCGUCUUAUUGAAAGAC
Amaranthus tricolor (Joseph's coat) is the source of this 1984-nucleotide long non-coding RNA. RefSeq lists it as uncharacterized. The record is from RefSeq and is a predicted model, not a curated record. NCBI's taxonomy places the organism in Eukaryota, Viridiplantae, Streptophyta, Magnoliopsida, Caryophyllales, Amaranthaceae. The transcript has 3 exons.